This 345-nucleotide unclassified non-coding RNA is filed under the name soil metagenome. RNAcentral's name for it is "partial contains 5.8S ribosomal RNA, internal transcribed spacer 2, and large subunit ribosomal RNA". The stretch from base 1 to 119 matches the Rfam family "5.8S ribosomal RNA", at positions 35 to 154 of the family's 154-position model. The record is from RNAcentral.
GAUGAAGAACGCAGCGAAAUGCGAUACGUAAUGUGAAUCGCAAAUUCAGUGAAUCAUCGAGUCUUUGAACGCACAUUGCGCCCCCUGGUAUUCCGGGGGGCAUGCCUGUCCGAGCGUCAUUGCUGCCCUCAAGCACGGCUUGUGUGUUGGGCCCCGUCCUCCGAUCCCGGGGGACGGGCCCGAAAGGCAGCGGCGGCACCGCGUCCGGUCCUCGAGCGUAUGGGGCUUUGUCACCCGCUCUGUAGGCCCGGCCGGCGCUUGCCGAUCAACCCAAAUUUUUAUCCAGGUUGACCUCGGAUCAGGUAGGGAUACCCGCUGAACUUAAGCAUAUCAAUAAGCGGAGGA